AAUGAAACUGCGAAUGGCUCAUUAAAACAGUUAUAGUUUAUUUGGUAAUCAAACUUACAUGGAUAACCGUGGUAAUUCUAGAGCUAAUACAUGCUGUUGUGCCCGACUCUNGAAGGGCCGUAUUUAUUAGAUAUGCACCCAAUAAGCAUCUGCUAUUGUGGUGACUCAUAGUAACUUAAUCGGAUCGCAUGGGCUUGUCCCGCGACAAACCAUUCAAGUUUCUGCCCCAUCAUGCUUUCGAUGGUAGUGUAUUGGACUACCAUGGCUUUCACGGGUAACGGAGGAUUAUGGUUCGAUUCCGGAGAGGGAGCCUGAUAAACGGCUACCACUUCCACGGAAGGCAGCAGGCGCGUAAAUUACCCAAUCCUAAUUCAUGGAGGUAGUGACAAGAAAUAAUGGGUCGGUGCUACGCACCGGGACUGCAAUGAGACGAAUUUACACCCCUUAUCGAGGACCAAUUGCAAGGCAAGUCUGGUG
RNAcentral lists this ribosomal RNA (477 nucleotides) under uncultured ciliate. Its description in RNAcentral is "SSU rRNA". It matches the Rfam family "Eukaryotic small subunit ribosomal RNA", at positions 80 to 566 of the family's 1831-position model. Lineage: Eukaryota; Ciliophora. The record is from RNAcentral.